This 506-nucleotide long non-coding RNA is filed under the name Homo sapiens (human). RNAcentral's name for it is "non-protein coding lnc-TAF9B-2:2". Lineage: Eukaryota; Metazoa; Chordata; Mammalia; Primates; Hominidae. The record is from RNAcentral.
GAAGAUCCGGGUGACGCUGCGAACGGACGUGAAGAAUGUGCGAGACCCAGGGUCGGCGCCGCUGCGUUUCCCGGAACCACGCCCAGAGCAGCCGCGUCCCUGCGCAAACCCAGGGCUGCCUUGGAAAAGGCGCAACCCCAACCCCGUGGAAUUCGAGGCUGCCCUACCAGGAUCAAUGCAAAUGCCACCUCCUUUUGGAAAAUCCUGGUUUCCUAGCUCCCUUCAUGGAAUUCUGCUUCUUAAGGCUUACUUAGUAAUAGAGACCUCUCAGAAGUUGGAAGAGGCCCAGGUCCACUCUGGCCCCCACCUUUUUUAAAAUAAAAAAUGCAAUGUAAUUUUUCUGGUUAUGGCAUGAUUGAUGCUAAUGGCAAACACGUGGCAUUUUUCAUAUAUUAACCAACGCUCACAAAACGCAGUAGUGACUACUGUUAUCCUCAUUAGGCAAAUGAAAUAACUGAUGCACAGAGAAGUUUAGUGGGCCAGGCGCGGUGGCUCACGCCUUUAAU